RNAcentral lists this ribosomal RNA (253 nucleotides) under Roseburia faecis M72/1. RNAcentral describes it as "partial 16S ribosomal RNA". It matches the Rfam family "Bacterial small subunit ribosomal RNA", at positions 524 to 776 of the family's 1533-position model. Lineage: Bacteria; Bacillati; Bacillota; Clostridia; Lachnospirales; Lachnospiraceae. The record is from RNAcentral.
UACGUAUGGUGCAAGCGUUAUCCGGAUUUACUGGGUGUAAAGGGAGUGCAGGCGGUGCGGCAAGUCUGAUGUGAAAGCCCGGGGCUCAACCCCGGUACUGCAUUGGAAACUGUCGUACUAGAGUGUCGGAGGGGUAAGUGGAAUUCCUAGUGUAGCGGUGAAAUGCGUAGAUAUUAGGAGGAACACCAGUGGCGAAGGCGGCUUACUGGACGAUAACUGACGCUGAGGCUCGAAAGCGUGGGGAGCAAACAGG